This 948-nucleotide non-coding RNA is filed under the name Cricetomys gambianus (Gambian giant pouched rat). Lineage: Eukaryota; Metazoa; Chordata; Mammalia; Rodentia; Nesomyidae. The record is from RNAcentral.
CAAAGGUUUGGUCCUGGCCUUAUAAUUAGUUGGAAGUAAAAUUACACAUGCAAAUAUCCUUACACCAGUGUCAAAUCCCUUAAAAUUUUAAUCUUAAAUUUAAGGAGAGGGUAUCAAGUUCAUUAUCUAUAGCUUAAGACACCUUGCCAAGCCACACCCCCACGGGACGCAGCAGUGAUAAAAAUUUAGCAAUAAACGAAAGUUUGACUAAGUUAUACUUCCAAGGGUUGGUAAAUUUCGUGCCAGCCACCGCGGUCAUACGAUUAACCCAAACUAAUUAAUUCGGCGUAAAAAGUGACUUACAUACAAAUAGAAUUAAAAAUCAACUAAUAUGUGAAAAUUCAUCGUUGAAUCUAAAAUCACUAACGAAAGUAAUUCUAAUCAAUUUUAAGCCACGAAAGCUAAGACCCAAACUGGGAUUAGAUACCCCACUAUGCUUAGCCCUAAACUUAAAUAGUUAUUUAACAAAACUAUUUGCCAGAGAACUACUAGCCACAGCCUAAAACUCAAAGGACUUGGCGGUACUUUACAUCCAUCUAGAGGAGCCUGUUCUAUAAUCGAUAUACCCCGUUCUACCUCACCAUCUCUUGCUAAUCCAGUCUAUAUACCGCCAUCUUCAGCAAACCUUAAAAAAGAAACACAGUAAGCAAGAUAAUAACCAUAAAAACGUUAGGUCAAGGUGUAACCCAUGAGAUGGAAAGCAAUGGGCUACAUUUUCUCUCAGAGAACAUUCACGCUACCCUUUAUGAAACCUAAAGGACCAAGGAGGAUUUAGUAGUAAAUUAAGAAUAGAGAGCUUAAUUGAAUAGAGCAAUGAAGUACGCACACACCGCCCGUCACCCUCCUCAAACUAGACAAGUCCAUAAAAAUAUAUACAUAAUACAACAGACUAACCUACGAGAGGAGAUAAGUCGUAACAAGGUAAGCAUACUGGAAAGUGUGCUUGGA